GACGAACGCUGGCGGCGUGCCUAAUACAUGCAAGUCGAACGAACCGCGACUAGGUGCUUGCACUUGGUCAGGGUGAGUGGCGAACGGGUGAGUAACACGUGGGUAACCUACCUCAUAGUGGGGGAUAACAGUCGGAAACGACUGCUAAUACCGCAUAGGACAUAGGAUCACAUGAUCCAGUGAGGAACGGUGGCGUAAGCUAUCGCUAAGAGAUGGACCCGCGGUGCAUUAGCUAGUUGGUAGGGUAAAGGCCUACCAAGGCGAUGAUGCAUAGCCGACCUGAGAGGAUGAUCGGCCACAUUGGAACUGAGACACGGCCCAAACUCCUACGGGAGGCAGCAGUAGGGAAUCUUCCGCAAUGGACGCAAGUCUGACGGAGCAACGCCGCGUGAGUGAAGAAGGUCUUCGGAUCGUAAAGCUCUGUUGUUAGAGAAGAACAGCGCAUAGAGUAACUGUUGUGGGUGUGACGGUAGCUAAACAGAAAGCCACGGCUAACUACGUG
RNAcentral lists this ribosomal RNA (502 nucleotides) under uncultured bacterium. Its description in RNAcentral is "partial 16S ribosomal RNA". It matches the Rfam family "Bacterial small subunit ribosomal RNA", at positions 28 to 507 of the family's 1533-position model. The record is from RNAcentral.